RNA transcript from Manihot esculenta (cassava), 3087 nucleotides. It is a transcript of the gene named sister chromatid cohesion 1 protein 3, with no coding region annotated. The transcript is spliced from 15 exons. NCBI's taxonomy places the organism in Eukaryota, Viridiplantae, Streptophyta, Magnoliopsida, Malpighiales, Euphorbiaceae. The record is from RefSeq and is a predicted model, not a curated record.
CGCUCUCACACUCUCCCGCUCUCUCUCUCUCUCUCUCUCUCUCGUUUCUGCCUCUCUUUCCCGCGCUCUCUCUCGUUUCUGCCCUUCCCUCCUGCAGAAUAUCUCUCUCUCUCUCUCUCUCUCGCGUUUCCGCCCCCCUUCUCUCUCGCUCUUGCUCUCGCUCUUCCUCGAAGUAUUGCUGCGGGAGAUCUCUCAGCGUUUCUUAAUUUAGGUAUUCUGUGGUAAUUUAUCCAUUGGUGUAACUCCAGCUCCACUUUCCUUACUGCUAACAAGGAGUCCUCCCUCUAAGGUGGCCUAGAAGAUAGGAGAUGUUCUAUUCGCAUACCUUUCUGGCCAGAAAGGGCCCACUCGGGACAGUGUGGUGUGCUGCUCACCUACAACAUCGCCUCAAAAAGUCUCACUACACUUCCACUGAUAUCUCCUCCACUGUUGAUCGCAUCAUGUUCCCUGAAGUUCCCAUCGCACUUAGAAUGUCUGGCCACCUACUGUUAGGUGUUGUUCGGAUAUAUUCAAAGAAAGUUGAUUAUCUUUACCAUGAUUGCAAUGUCAUUCUUAUUGGCUUAAGAAAGGCCUUCGCUUCCACAGAAGUUAAUUUGCCAGAGAAUGCCACAACAGCAAAAUUUGAAUCUGUUACUUUGCCACAAACAUUUGACCUUGAUGCCUUGGAUGUGGACUUGGACGUAUAUCCUGAUGGGUCUCCGGAUACUCAUACUAGGAGUCAGGAGGAGAUAACACUUCAAGAUCAAAUUCCUACCGGCAGGGAUCCUUAUGUUAUUAUAACUUUUGAUGAGGAUAUUAUGAUGGAUGCAUUACCACCAGAACAAGAUUUUGAUUCAGGGGUUCAGCCAAUGGACAAGAAUGUCCUUCCUCAAUCAAUGGUUGAUACUCCCCAUGCCAGUCCAAUGGAUCAGAUGCAAUUACCAACAGAAACUCUUGAUCUUCAAGAACCGGGUCCAAGUAAUCAGGCAGAAGUGCCUAUGGACACUGUUGAUAAUCAAGAAGCUCCAAGCAACCAAACAGAAAUACGAAGUGAAACUUUGGAUUUUCAGGAUCCUGUUCAGAGCAACCAGGCAGAACUACGAACUGACACUCUGGAUGUACGAGAUUCUGGUCCGAGCAACCAAACUGAGGUUCUAAAUUCAGUACUUAACAAUGGAAAUUCCCCUCUAGAAAUUGAAGUUAUGCGUGAUCUGGUCCAUGGUUUUAGCUCAGAAAAUCUUCCUGCAGUAUUUCCAGGUCAUCAAAAUGAUGCAUCUGAUCCUAACAAAUCUUUAGAUCUAGGUUUGAAUCAGAAGGAAAUUCCUUCUCCAUUUAAGGAAGAUACGAUGCCAUCUGGAGGGCAAUCUUCACCAUUUCUGCAAUGUCCAGAGCCCCUCAAUUCUGCUGCUUCGCAACAGGCACCCGAAGUCUUUGAUACAUGUACUUCAUUUAGGAACAUAUCACCUGAACUCGCCAUGCGUCCAACUCCACCUGUUCAGCAGCCAAGACCAAGGCAGAGAAAGAGAAAGCAUUUCUUUGAUGAGUCCACGGUGUUAACUAAUAAGUUUAUGAAGAAGGCACUAGAAGAUUCUAGUGACAUAUCAAGGAAAAGAAGGGAAAUCCCUUCCACCACUUUGGCCAUUUGGAAAUUGAACAACACUUUAAGGAAGGAACAAGUCUUUUAUGAGCCUUCAUUAACUGGGUCUUCUCCUGAGAUAUGCAAUCUUUUAAAUAAGGACUUUGUUCCUAUAAAAUGUCACUUGACUCUUGAAAGGGAAGCCAGUCCAGAUCCUAGGAUUGCAACCUCUCCUGCUUCUCCAACUGAAGUGAUUCCAGAAUCCAGGGAUGCAACUUCUCCAGCUGCAGCUACGGAAGUGAUCCCAGAGCCUAGGAUUGCAACUUCUGCCUCUGCAACUGAACACUUUCAAGGGCCUCCAGUUGCACAACCUCUUGCACCAGAAGCUGAACCCAAUCCAGAAAUUGAAUGUCUUCGGCAUCAUGAAGGCCAUGAUGGCAAUAGUAUGUUGCCAGAACUUUUGCCUUCUCCAGCCAGAGUAAUGACUUCUCCUGGAAGAUUUGUUUCUUCUCCUUUUACUAGAGAUGACUUCACUCCCAGCUCACUAAGAAGUCUGGAAUCAGAAAAAUUACCUUGGGCUGGUACAAAUACUGGAACUGAAGUGUUGCCUACACCAGAUAUUGCAGCAUCCACUGGAACUUACACUACUGAGCUGGAAACACCUAGGACAUUUUUGGAGGAGCAAUUUGAUAUGGGGCACACUGGACUUUCUAAUAUUCCUGAAUCGAUGAAUACUGCACAAACAGAGGACCUUUAUUUUCUUGAAGCUGACAAUUCCCCAGCUGGAUCUGAAGGCACUCAAGGUGAAUAUUCCCUGUCUGUGAGGACAAGGGCUGUGGCUCAAUAUUUAAAAGGAUGUUCACCAGUCACCCCAGUAUCAGAAGACCACUCUGGAGAUCUGAGUCUCAACAAGAUCUUACAAGGAAAAACAAGAAAGUUAUGUGCUCGGAUGUUCUUCGAAACACUAGUUUUGAAGAGUUAUGGGCUUAUUGAUGUACGACAGGAGCAACCUUACAGUGAUAUUACUUUGAAGUUGACUUCUACUUUCUCAAAGGCCCAAAUAUGAGCAUGACAUGAACUUGAUGGAUUUUGGGAGCUAUUCUGUAUAUAGGUACUGAUUUUGGGUUGCCAAGCGAAGAGAUGACUAGGACACGAUAUCAGAGGGAGAUGUACAGCUGCAGCAAUUUGAAUGUGGAAAUUUUGUGGCGAUGACUGGUCCACAUCCAAGUUCAUAGUGAGAUCCAGUUCGUAAUGCCUGUCAUUAUAAACCAUGAGGUUGCCUUAACUUAUUGUAAUUAGCUUUGCAAUUAUGGCCAUAACAUAUUGUAAUUAUUGGCUCGAUAUUUUAUCAUGUUUAGUUAUCUCUUUGCUAGUAAUCUAUAGGCUAUGGACAUAUCACAUGUCAAAGGUUAACCAAUAGGUUCAUACAGUUGAUAAACUGUAAUUUUGGAGCAAUUUUUUGGUGGGAAUACUGUCUGUCAAUGUAAGAAUCCAACAGUUUGGCUGCUUCGUUAUGUUUUGAUGGUUCUGUC